This 2549-nucleotide long non-coding RNA is filed under the name Daucus carota (carrot). RNAcentral describes it as "long non-coding RNA (DCAR_LNC004334)". Lineage: Eukaryota; Viridiplantae; Streptophyta; Magnoliopsida; Apiales; Apiaceae. The record is from RNAcentral.
UGGUGCGUUCCAUACCUUGGAAGAAAACUUAGUUACUACUGACUAAUGUUGAUAAAUGUGCAAUUACUUGUUAAUUGUUAUCAGCUGCCCCUUUUUUAGAAAGCAGCAAAUUGUUUAAGAUGAACACAAACAAACUUAUCAUACCAUAUCUGGCAUCAGAAUAAUAGUUAUUAAAUCUUGGUAUAUGUAUAUAACUAAUUCAUGAAGACUUUAUGCUAUAAUCUACGUACAUUCUGCUUUCGUGUUAGGACAUGAGAGAAGAUAUGCAUAUAUUUGGUUUUUAUUGUAUAUGUGGGGUUGUUGGGUCUGAAGUAGAAUUAUCAUUGAGGAGACUGCCAAUUUUUGUUUCCUUUAUUCUGUUCUAGUACCACAGCAAUUUGAUUUAUGCCAAAAGUGUUGCUACGCUGAGAGACUGCCAUCUGUACAAGCAAUGCAAUGCAGAUCAGUUAAAUACAAUGCAUCAAUGGAUGAAUCUUAUGUGGCCAGAACCCAUCUUAGUUUAAUUAGAAUCUUUUGGUAAAUAAGCAUGAUCACCUCUAAUAGUAUUCAGGACCACAUUCAUUAAUAUGGUAAUACAUAUAUUGAGUUGAUGAAGGCUGCUUCCGCGUUAUCCGUUAAUAAUGGCAGUGAUUUAGAAUGGGGCUGGAAACAAAUAUUGCAAAACAGGACAGUAAGAUGCUAUUUACUAUAUAAAAAAAGUUCGUUUGAUUAAUCAUACACACCAACUUACUGCGAAAUAAUCUAUCAUAUUGUACGUUUUGUUGGUUGAAGUAUAUGCUCUAUCCAAUGAUCCCUGUAAGGGGCUAUGUACUUACGAAUUGAAUGGCACAUUGGCACGACACCGUCCUCCUCCUUCCCGAUAUAUAUGCUAAAUUUCUUAAUUCAUAUUAACCCAGUGUAAGUAAAUUUUCAAUUUCUCUUACGCGGCUUUUUUUUUUCCCUCUUCUGUAGACUUAUUUUGUUUUAUUUUACCAAUUGGCAGCUCGGGGGCGGAUAUCUCUUUGGGUUGCCAGUUGGAUUUGUUGCUGAUUCUACUGGUGCUACACUUGGAGCAACAGCUGCAUUUCUUCUCGGGAGAACAGUAAGUUAAACUCCCCCUUGACUAUUCCUUAUUGGCCAAGACCAAGUGCAGUUAUAGUGAUUAUAUCUAUAUUUUGCAUAACUUUGUCCCCCGUGGUAUACAUUCCUAUGCAUUUAUUCUUUUAUCUUAAGCUUAUUGCCAUUUGUAGUAAGUGCCAAGCUCUGAAUUUAUGGUGUCAUCUUCACAUGAAUAUAUUUUGCCACAUAUUUGCAGAUUGGGAGGCCAUAUGUCAAAUCUAAAUUGAAAAAUUAUCCCAGGUUUCAGGCAGUUACUAUAGCGAUUCAGAAAUCCGGGUUUAAGGUUUGAUUGCUGACUAACUAUUUUGUUGAUAAUUAAGUUUAUGCCCGAGUUGGGAUAUUAAGUGAGAAGUGACUUUUUUAUAGCUGACUGGACACCUAUGAAUUUCCUUACCUAAGUGAUUAAGAUACACUAGCGACAACCCUUUAUAUAUUUGCGUUAUAUUGUUAGGAUGUACAUAUAAAGGAUUGGCUGAGAAGCUCUUGUAAAAAAACACAUGUUGCCAGUGUCAUGUUGCCGGUGGUUUGCUGGCACAUUUAGCUCCCAUAUGUUUUACAAGCUUAAAUAUUAAUUGAAAUUUGAAGUAUGCUUUUAAGUGUCUUUGUUGGUUGCUUUGGUAUUGCACAUUAAGAUACCCAAUCGCUAUUAUGAGAGAGGUGUAUAUUCUAUUCAUCUGCAAUGACCGANUAGAAUUAUCAUUGAGGAGACUGCCAAUUUUUGUUUCCUUUAUUCUGUUCUAGUACCACAGCAAUUUGAUUUAUGCCAAAAGUGUUGCUACGCUGAGAGACUGCCAUCUGUACAAGCAAUGCAAUGCAGAUCAGUUAAAUACAAUGCAUCAAUGGAUGAAUCUUAUGUGGCCAGAACCCAUCUUAGUUUAAUUAGAAUCUUUUGGUAAAUAAGCAUGAUCACCUCUAAUAGUAUUCAGGACCACAUUCAUUAAUAUGGUAAUACAUAUAUUGAGUUGAUGAAGGCUGCUUCCGCGUUAUCCGUUAAUAAUGGCAGUGAUUUAGAAUGGGGCUGGAAACAAAUAUUGCAAAACAGGACAGUAAGAUGCUAUUUACUAUAUAAAAAAAGUUCGUUUGAUUAAUCAUACACACCAACUUACUGCGAAAUAAUCUAUCAUAUUGUACGUUUUGUUGGUUGAAGUAUAUGCUCUAUCCAAUGAUCCCUGUAAGGGGCUAUGUACUUACGAAUUGAAUGGCACAUUGGCACGACACCGUCCUCCUCCUUCCCGAUAUAUAUGCUAAAUUUCUUAAUUCAUAUUAACCCAGUGUAAGUAAAUUUUCAAUUUCUCUUACGCGGCUUUUUUUUUUCCCUCUUCUGUAGACUUAUUUUGUUUUAUUUUACCAAUUGGCAGCUCGGGGGCGGAUAUCUCUUUGGGUUGCCAGUUGGAUUUGUUGCUGAUUCUACUGGUGCUACACUUGGAGCAACAGCUGCAUUUCUUCUCGGG